RNAcentral lists this non-coding RNA (25 nucleotides) under Rattus norvegicus (Norway rat). Lineage: Eukaryota; Metazoa; Chordata; Mammalia; Rodentia; Muridae. The record is from RNAcentral.
UCAGUUGUGCUUUGAGUGUAGGCUC